GGAGGAGUGCGAGAGCGGCCGAAUCGGCACGAUUGGAAAUCGUGUGACCUGCAAGGGUCCGUGGGUUCAAAUCCCACCUCCUCCG
RNAcentral lists this transfer RNA (85 nucleotides) under Acidimicrobiales bacterium. RNAcentral's name for it is "tRNA-Ser". It matches the Rfam family "tRNA". From Rfam's summary of the family: Transfer RNA (tRNA) molecules are approximately 80 nucleotides in length. Their secondary structure includes four short double-helical elements and three loops (D, anti-codon, and T loops). The record is from RNAcentral. RNAcentral also lists the same sequence under 2 other names. Lineage: Bacteria; Bacillati; Actinomycetota; Acidimicrobiia; Acidimicrobiales.